RNAcentral lists this transfer RNA (57 nucleotides) under Odocoileus virginianus texanus. It matches the Rfam family "tRNA", at positions 8 to 63 of the family's 71-position model. From Rfam's summary of the family: Transfer RNA (tRNA) molecules are approximately 80 nucleotides in length. Their secondary structure includes four short double-helical elements and three loops (D, anti-codon, and T loops). Lineage: Eukaryota; Metazoa; Chordata; Mammalia; Artiodactyla; Cervidae. RNAcentral also lists the same sequence under 2 other names. The record is from Rfam by way of RNAcentral.
UAGCUCAGUUGGUAAAGAAUCUGCCUGCAAUGCAGGAAACCCUGGUUCAAUUCCUGG